GACGAACGCUGGCGGCGUGCUUAACACAUGCAAGUCGAACGGAAAUUGCCUGCUUUUGUCGUGUGCUCGAGGGGCGAACGGGUGGUUACCCCGAGGGUACCCUCCCCUUGACUGUGGGAAAACUUCAGGAAACUGGGGCUAAUACCGGAUAGGAUCUCCUGCUGCAUGUUUGUGGAUGGAAAGCUUCGGCGGGUGGGGAUGGACUCGCGGCUUAUCAGCUUGUUGUGGGGGGAGUGGGUUACCAAGGCUUUGACGGGUAGCCGGCCUGAGAGGGUGACCGGCCACAGGGGGACUGAGAUACGGCACGGACCCCUACGGGAGGCAGGAGUGGGGAAGAUAGCACGAUGGAGGGAAGCCUGAUGCAGGAAGACGGCGCGCGGGAUGGUAGACUUCUGGUGGUAGACAGAAUUCGCCGGGGAGGGACGGUGAGUGACGGUAAUUGUUAAAGAAGCACCGGCUAACUACGUG
RNAcentral lists this ribosomal RNA (468 nucleotides) under uncultured bacterium. RNAcentral's name for it is "partial 16S ribosomal RNA". It matches the Rfam family "Bacterial small subunit ribosomal RNA", at positions 28 to 507 of the family's 1533-position model. The record is from RNAcentral.